CCCAGAGCUUGGGGAUAUUCUUGCUGCCCUGUGGCAGGUAAACAUAUCCCCCUGCAUGGAAAGCAGCUCCUAGCAUAACUGCUUUGGUCUGGAGUCUUCGUUUUGUCUUAGGGACUAUCCCAUGCAUCAUUAAUCGAGGGGAACAGUGCAGUCCAACCUUAAAAGAGGGGUAGGAAGGGUUGGGUGCCCAGAGCUGGCCCUUGCUGGUUCAGGGUUCUGUCCCCCCAGUAUGGUGGGUGAAUGCUGGGUGCAUGGGCAGGUUCUUGGGGCCCAGAGGAGGUGCUGAUGUGUGGGCCCUGGGUCUGUUAGAGAGCCCUUCCCUCCCCUCUCCUCGCAGCCCACCAUUUCCCAGUGCCGGGCCCUGUUUCUCUGGUCUCCUUGGUGACAAUCUCAUCUCUCCUCGGCUUCUCUCCAGCACCUGAAAAUAGCCUCCGAAAGUGGAGAUGCCUGCUCCCUUCCCUGCUGCCAGCACCCGCGAUGGCCAGGCUGGAGCCAGGCUGCUCUGCACAGCACAGCUGUAAGGGUCUGGCCCCAAGGGCCCCUGCACCACUGCGGGAUUUGGGCCACUCUGUGAGCCAGCACCGAGGCCCCGGCCUCCCCUCCUCCUGCCUGCUGUGAGGCUGCACCAGGGAACUCCUUGUACCCCGCCACGGGCCAGUAUCCAGCUGUCCCCUGCAGCCGGAGACUGUCCCUUUGGCCCUGUAGCUACCAACCCCGCAGCCAGCCCGACAGCCUCCCAGAAAUAGAAAGCGGAGCCGGGAGCGGGCAGAGGGCGAGCAGGAAGGGGUGGCCCCGCGGCAGGGAAGGAGUUACCGCAGGUCGGGCUGCCCCCGCCUGUGGGGUGACAGGGUCGCCGCGGACACUGAGCUGCAGCAGGAUCUCGGGCAGGGACAGGCAGGGCUGGGCAGCGUCGACAAAAUGGUCGGCACCCACCCAGCCCAUGGCAGGACCCAGCCCUUCUCCAGCAUCCCCUGGAGGGGGGAACGCUGUGCCCCCCACCGCGUCCCUGGCUCCUGGGGGACGGGGGUCCGCGGAGAGGGGUGUCCCUCCGCUCUCUGCCCCCUGCCAUCCCUCCAUCGCCCCCUCCCUCGGGUCCCCAGGACCAGCGCUGCCCCCGGGCCCGCCGAGUUCAGCCCGAGGCUGCUCGGGGCCGCGGGCGCUGCUCGGUGGUGUCGGCCGUGUCCCCCCCCCGGCGGUGGCGGUGGGGGCAUGGCUGGCAUUGCUCGCUGACACUCUAUCUGCCAGGGCCACGCCAGCCGCGGGCCCAGAAUAGCAGCGCUGCCCCGCAGAUAGCAUGGAGCAGCUCCGCGGCCCCGCCGCGUCCCAGGUGGCGCUGCGGGAUGCUGUUGUGUGCCCUGAGGAGGAAGGGUUUCCGAAGGCUGUAUGCUCCAGGGAGGAGGAAGAGGAGGAGGAGGAAGAGGAAGAAUACAGGAGACCUGUCACCUUCACACUGGGAAAUGAGAUACUGGGGCUGGGCCCACAGGCUGAGUUUCAGACCCCUGAUGCUGAGGCCUAUAUGCACUUCUUGAGGAGCCACUGCUGCUAUGAUGCCAUCCCCACCAGCUGCAAGCUCGUUGUCUUUGACAUCUCCCUGGAGAUCAAGAAAGCCUUUUUGGCACUGGUGGCCAACGGGGUUCGUGCUGCCCCUCUCUGGGACAGCAAGACGCAGAGCUUUGUGGGGAUGCUCACCAUCACCGACUUCAUCAACAUCCUCCACCGCUACUACCGCUCACCCCUGGUUCAGAUCUACGAGGUGGAGGAGCACAAGAUUGAGACCUGGAGAGAGGUGUACCUGCAGGGCUCCCUCAAGCCACUGGUCUACAUCUCUCCGAGCAAUAGCCUCUUUGAUGCUGUCUACUCCCUGAUCAAGCACAAAAUCCACCGCCUGCCUGUCAUUGAGCCUGUCUCGGGCAAUGUCCUGCACAUCCUGACGCACAAGCGCAUCCUCAAGUUUCUCCACAUCUUUGCUUCUACCAUCCCCAAGCCACGCUUCCUGAAGAAAACAGUGCAGGAACUGUGCAUUGGCACCUUCCGUGAUCUGGCUGUGGUGGCUGAGACUGCCCCAAUCUACACUGCCUUGGAGAUUUUUGUGGAUCGCCGCGUCUCCGCCUUGCCUGUCAUCAAUGAUGCUGGGCAAGUGGUUGGCCUGUACUCGCGGUUUGAUGUCAUUCACCUGGCGGCCCAGAAGACCUACAACAACCUGGACAUCAGUGUGAGGGAGGCACUGCAGCAACGCAGUGUCUGCCUGGAGGGGGUCCUCACCUGCUACCCCCAUGAGCCUAUGGAGGACAUCAUUGACCGCAUUGCCAAGGAGCAGGUCCAUCGCCUGGUUCUGGUGGAUGAGAACCGGUACCCGCAGGGCAUCGUCUCCCUCUCUGACAUCCUGCAGGCCCUUGUGCUCACUCCUGCAGGUAUUGAUGCUCUUAACUCUUAGCCCACGGUGCUCCAUCUUUCUCCACUUGCACCCUCAAUUUCUCUCCACUUCAGGCAUCGACAGAUCCUCACUCUGAAGACACCAGGGAAAUGUCACUGUCUCGUCUGACUCGGGGAUCUCUUGCGCGACCUGUGAGAAGGAGGCUUGGGCCCGAAGGCUCUCUGUGGGGAGGACAUGCCUGUUCACCCCAGUCCCCGGGCUCGUCUUGAGUCCAGGGCUAGAUCCUGCUGGUCUUGGAGAGGCAGAAACACUGAAAAUGGGACCCCGGGGUGCCUCGUGCCAGUGAGCACACAGUGAUGCUCAGUGGGCACGAUGCUGGAGGGGCUGCAACACGCCUGCAGCUGGGCAGAGACCCAGACAGCCCCAGAGGACCUGGCCACCCCUCUGCCAUCCUGCUGAUGGAUCUGAGCGUUUCUGUUGUGGCUCCCUCCUGGUGAACACAGUCCCGCUGUCUGUGCUCGGUGCCUGGUAGCGUAGGCUCAGCUGCACACACAGGCUUUUUUAUUGUAGGGUCACACGGGGCUGGAGCUCUCUGGCAGAGGCACAGUCUGUGCCAGAGCUGGCAGCAGGAUGGGCACUUGCAUGGAGACCCUGUGCACGUUUUGGGGCGGGCAGGGGAUAUUUAUUUAUUUGUUAGUCUGUUCAGCCUUGCUGUAACAAAACAGCCUGAUCCAA
RNA transcript from Passer montanus (Eurasian tree sparrow), 3109 nucleotides. It is a transcript of the gene named protein kinase AMP-activated non-catalytic subunit gamma 3, with no coding region annotated. Lineage: Eukaryota; Metazoa; Chordata; Aves; Passeriformes; Passeridae. The transcript has 13 exons. The record is from RefSeq and is a predicted model, not a curated record.